This is a non-coding RNA of Bos taurus (domestic cattle), 73 nucleotides long. NCBI's taxonomy places the organism in Eukaryota, Metazoa, Chordata, Mammalia, Artiodactyla, Bovidae. The record is from Rfam.
UCCCUCAUAGCUCAAUCGGUAAAGAAUCUGCCUACAGUGUAGGAGACCCAGGUUCGAUACCUGGGUCAGGGAG